RNAcentral lists this ribosomal RNA (217 nucleotides) under uncultured bacterium. Its description in RNAcentral is "partial 16S ribosomal RNA". It matches the Rfam family "Bacterial small subunit ribosomal RNA", at positions 118 to 351 of the family's 1533-position model. The record is from RNAcentral.
UGGGAACGUGCCCUUUGGUUCGGAAUAACUCAGGGAAACUUGAGCUAAUACCGGAUAAGUCCGUAAGGAGAAAGAUUUAUCGCCGAAGGAGCGGCCCGCGUCCGAUUAGCUAGUUGGUGGGGUAAUGGCCCACCAAGGCUACGAUCGGUAGCUGGUCUGAGAGGAUGACCAGCCACACUGGGACUGAGACACGGCCCAGACUCCGUACGGGAGGCAG